RNAcentral lists this ribosomal RNA (185 nucleotides) under uncultured Bacteroidota bacterium. Its description in RNAcentral is "uncultured Bacteroidetes bacterium partial 16S ribosomal RNA". It matches the Rfam family "Bacterial small subunit ribosomal RNA", at positions 121 to 306 of the family's 1533-position model. Lineage: Bacteria; Pseudomonadati; Bacteroidota. The record is from RNAcentral.
ACAAUUUGCCUUAUACAGGGAGAUAGCCCGGAGAAAUUCGGAUUAAUAUCCCAUAAUAAUUUUGUCUCGCAUGAGAUGAUUUUUAAAGCUACGGCGGUAUAAGAUGAGUAUGCGUCUGAUUAGCUAGUUGGUGAGGUAAUGGCUCACCAAGGCAACGAUCAGUAGGGGGCCUGAGAGGGUUAUCC